Molecule: non-coding RNA, 107 nt
Organism: Arabidopsis thaliana x Arabidopsis arenosa
Lineage: Eukaryota; Viridiplantae; Streptophyta; Magnoliopsida; Brassicales; Brassicaceae
Source: the annotation of a GenBank genome assembly
AAACCAUGGUGAGGGCAAUGAGUAGUGUAGCCCUUGAAGCGUUCCCAAGCUUUAAAAAAUGAUUCGGAAUGUCGUUGUGCAAAACCCGAGAUCUCAUUCCUUAAUCU